This 253-nucleotide ribosomal RNA is filed under the name uncultured bacterium. Its description in RNAcentral is "partial 16S ribosomal RNA". It matches the Rfam family "Bacterial small subunit ribosomal RNA", at positions 524 to 776 of the family's 1533-position model. The record is from RNAcentral.
UACGGGGGGGGCAAGCGUUGUUCGGAAUUACUGGGCGUAAAGGGCUCGUAGGUGGCCAACUAAGUCAGACGUGAAAUCCCUCGGCUUAACCGGGGAACUGCGUCUGAUACUGGAUGGCUUGAGUUCGGGAGAGGGAUGCGGAAUUCCUGGUGUAGCGGUGAAAUGCGCAGAUAUCAGGAGGAACACCGGUGGCGAAGGCGGGUCUCUGGGCCGAUACUGACGCUGAGGAGCGAAAGCGUGGGGAGCAAACAGG